GAAGAUGUUGUCCUCGCCUCCGAAUCUGAUCAACAUGUCUUCUGUUUCACGGGAGAUGAGUGGACAGAGGAAAACGAACCAUCAGGAUCACCUUCGGUACGAGGCACCCGCCCUCAGCCCCGAGGUGGAAGAGGACGAACUUCUGGGGAACGUGAUCCGCAGCGUGGAGGCUGUGGCUCGUGACCCGGAAGUGUAUUCCUUGCAUUCGCUGAGAGUGGAUUUCGUGUGCUCUCACCACACGCACACGCGCCAAGGAGACUUGCAAUAAAUGUUAAUCAGCUUGA
Molecule: long non-coding RNA, 284 nt
Organism: Leopardus geoffroyi (Geoffroy's cat)
Lineage: Eukaryota; Metazoa; Chordata; Mammalia; Carnivora; Felidae
Exons: 2
Source: RefSeq, a predicted model, not a curated record